This 467-nucleotide ribosomal RNA is filed under the name uncultured bacterium. RNAcentral describes it as "bacterial SSU rRNA". It matches the Rfam family "Bacterial small subunit ribosomal RNA", at positions 73 to 518 of the family's 1533-position model. The record is from RNAcentral.
GCUUCCACUGAGAAGAGUAGUGGUCGGAACGGGUGAGGUAACAACGUGGGGUAACCUGCCCAUAAGAGGGGGGAUAACAUCCGGAAACGGGUGUUAAUACCGCAUAGUUUUUCUUGAUCGCAUGAUUGAGAAAGGAAAGACGGCCUUUGUGCUGUCGCUUAUGGAUGGACCCGCGGCGUAUUAGUUAGUUGGUGAGGUAACGGCUCACCAAGACGAUGAUACGUAGCCGACCUGAGAGGGUGAUCGGCCACAUUGGGACUGAGACACGGCCCAAACUCCUACGGGAGGCAGCAGUAGGGAAUCUUCCGCAAUGGACGAAAGUCUGACGGAGCAACGCCGCGUGAGUGAAGAAAAGGUUUUCGGAUCGUAAAACUCUGUUGUCAGAGAAGAACAAGUUGGAGAGUAACUGCUCCAGCCUUGACGGUAUCUGACCAGAAAGCCACGGCUAACUACGUGCCAGCCGCCGC